Molecule: long non-coding RNA, 655 nt
Filed under: Mytilus galloprovincialis (Mediterranean mussel)
Lineage: Eukaryota; Metazoa; Mollusca; Bivalvia; Mytilida; Mytilidae
Source: RNAcentral
UUUUGAGUUUGCAGUGGAGAUUUGUAUUUUACUCAAAAAAUUCUGAUUACGCAAUAAUAAAUAAAAACAGCAAGAUAUGUUUUUCAUUUGUAAAUGUCCAUUUGGAUUGUAUAUACACAUAUCAAAAUAAAAGGAGAACAUUAAUCGCAAAAAUGCCGGACAAAGCACAUUAUCCAACCAUACCCGACUUGAAAUGGAAUAUUCAAGCUAUACAGAUAGUCUGAUUUGGUGAAAGCACACAAUGUGGUGGAGUUACACUAGUUUUUGGUGCACUUUGGUGUAUCUUUGAUGAGUUUAUUUUCACAUAUUUAGACCAAAGUUGUGAAAUUAAAAAACACAAUAUAAAACCAUUUGGUAUGUUUUUGCAAUGUACAACACUGCGAUCCAAGUAGGAUUCGGCUUAUUUUCAAUGUGUGGAUAAUUUAAAUUUCUUUUUUUGUUGCAGUAGCUAUGAUAAUUAUGUUUACAAUGUAAUUAGUUAUAUAAUAUCAACCAUGAACCAUCCAUUUUUUUUUUCAAAGAAUAACAAGAAAAUGAAAGGUUAUAACAAGGUUAAUUCCACCAUUUUCUACAUAGAGAAAUGCGUGUACUUAGUCAGGAAUAUAUAUGCCAGUUGUUUCCAUUCGUUUGAUGUGUUUGAGCUUUUGAUUUUUUU